CUUCUUUCUUGCUAGCACUAUCUUUCUUGCUCAUGAAGCAAGGUGCUAUAUUGUAAGAAUCUCAAUGCAGGAGCCCAGUGGCAAGGAACUGAGGGAGACUUCCAGCCAAGUGUGUGCAAAGAACUCAAUCAGCCAACAAUCUGAUGAGUGAACUAGAGAGUGAAUCCUUCUCAACUGAGCAUUUAAAUGACUGUUACCUUGUGGUAGAUCCAGACGACCCAGCUAAGCUACCCCUGGCUCCCUCACCCACAGAAACUUUUCCUCACCAGUAAAAUGAGAACGGUACCAGCGCCUAACACACAGUUGGGAUAAAGUCCAGAUGAGACAAGAUCUAUGACUGUGUGGGGAUGGAUAAGUGGUUUCUACCUGCCAGCUAUGAUAACCAGCCAGCAUCGGGCCCCUAAGCCACUAGACAGUGCUCUACGUUGUUUUGAAAACACAGAUGACCCCUAGCAUGUGAAGCUCAGCGGUACACCGACACGAAACAUCCCUCGGACUGAGGGUGAAUUAAUAUUUUGUAAAGCUUUAAAUGUUAAAACCAAACCUGGAUAUGGCACAUAUAUCAAAGUUAUGUUCCUAAUGUGAAUUUUCUACCAACUGCCUAAAAAUAUCUGAUGGUAAAGGAAGCCUGUUGCCGAAGUCCACACAUUUCCCCUAUUAAACAGAGGUAAGCCAUAUCCCCAAGAAACCAUAUUUCAAGCCCACAGGAUACUCAUGAACUAAAAUAAUGAAUGAUAAUGCCUCGUUCCCUGCAUUAAUAUUAAAGAAAAGAGAAAAUAGAAAACUUUAUAGCCACUAUCAGCUCUCUGAACCAUAAAUCUCAAGUUUUGAGAAUUGCUUCCCAAAAGGGUAGGGAGCGGGGGGGGGGGGCGGAUGAGCUGUGAGAGCACUUUGGAGCCUAGAGAUAUUUUUUAGCAAGCCAGCAAAGCACUGACACAAAUUUCUACAUAUCUCUGGCUGUGAAAAGUCUCAUUUGUGGUGAUUUAUAUUUCCUCAUAAAGAACUCUGUAGAUAAUAUAAGCCUGCUGUGAGGCUGUAUGACAACUUUCAAACCAAGAGUUACACGACCAUUCUGUUAAAAUAGAGCAAGAAUAGAUGAGUGGGAAAAUCUGUAGAAACAGUAUUUCUUCUGAUGAAAGGCCAAAGUCUGGCUUUUCCAGCAUGCACAGUGUUCAGAGGUUCACCUUUCGCUCCAUGUACAUGUCUCAUGGAUAACAUUGUGGUCAUCUGUAUGAGAAAGUAUUAUUUUUUCCCCCCGAAGAUUGACUAAGUGCAUUUGGUGUGUGCAUGCUUGUGUAAUUUACAACAAAGGACACUUAGACAUCAUCACACUGGAGUUCAGUUGCCUUAAUAAGUUACUAAGGGAAACACAGAGAAUAGCAUGCUGACAGCCCAAAGUCAAUGAAGUAUAAACACUGUUAUUCCAAGUGUCACUGGCGUGUUAUUUCCAUUUCUCCUGGCAUCUGCUCUAUGUAACGCUGCACACACACGCGAUACAGCAGCUCAUUAAACUGUUUUCAGUUAACUCUGCAACCAGAUUAGUACAUUACAUGUUUAUAAGGCUGAGAAUUACUGCUUCCCUGUGAAAUUACACAAUUAAUCAGGUGCGUUAUUUCUCGGGGAGAUGUGGCCACUUUUGACAUUUAGGGAUAAAAAAACAUACAAAAAACCAGAAAAAAACCAAUCCUUUCAUUUGUUCCAUUUCGGCAUUUAGUCUCAGUGUGGUAACACGAAGCAAAAGGCGGCAUAAUUCCCUCCUCCCCCUCAGGAGGUCAGAACUCUCUAUGUUCCCGCAGUCUCGUAAUAGCAUUUUAAAUUCUUGAAAGGAGCACAAAUAAAAAUUAUUGUUUUUGAACUUCUUAUCUGAGUGUCACAGCCUUUGAAAACUUCAAACAACGCAAAGAGUACUUAUGAGUCUUUAGUUUUGUAUGGCUUAUACCGUGAAUUUCCAUCAAGUCCCAAUUAUUCAACAGCUUUUGAGCGCCCUUUGCGAACUUUAAGGCGGCUCCCAAAGUCAAAACCUAUUAAGCAGGGAUGUGAGUUCCAGCUUCCGUUUUCACAGACCUGGCAUUAAUUCCUCUGAUUCUUUCUAACAGCGCCUCAUCUCUUAGGCAAGUCAUGUACUGGGGGGAUGCAUUUCUUUUAAAAAUCCUCCCCACCUGACCAAAUAAUACUGCCAACUUUUUAAAAAUAUUGAAUUGUUUUAAAAUAUCCUGUGUUCCUAUUAGUUGCCCCCUCCACCUUCGGGUCUACUCAGACUAUGUGAAACAUGGGUCAAGCCUCCACGCUCUGCCCAGGCCUAAGCUGGUGUCAAGCAUUCCUGUUCCGGAAGGUUAACAGGGCACCUGGCAACAAACUGCCGUUUCCGUAAGAGAAACUCACAAUUAACAUAGAAAAAUAUCCUGAAGUCUCUAAAUAUCCUCUUUUAUGUUCUUUAUUUAACCUUCAUUUAAGAGCCCUUGAAAUCCAUUCAUGCUUUCCAAAAAGAUGGCUAGGGACAACUUGAAACAGACACAAUUCUCUAAACUCAUUCUUUAAAUAAAAAAGGUGCAUUCUUGCAGGUUCACAAGAGACCCCUGAAGUACACAAAGGAAAUAGAACAACUGUUUUCACGCACAAAUCUGAUGUGAUCCAGGCGAACUUCCAGUGUCUGAGUGCAGAGCAACUGUUCCACUCACUGGAUAUUCAGAAAAAAGCAAAACUAAACAACAACAACAAAGAACUAAACUAAAUAGGUCUUAGUGACUACGAUAUACUCUGUACCUGAGCAAUUGCCAUUUGAUGUUUGUGCCAUAUUCAUGCCUUCCCAUGUUAGCAAACAUUAAAAUGUGUCAACUUCCUAACACUGCCCCUCAACUCCUUUCUCUAUUAAUAUAAAUACGUCUUGCUCAAUACUAUGUUCUGGGUUUACAUAUUUUAAAAAUUAUAGGAGGUGAACUAGUAUUCGACCACAGUCCUUCUGGAAAUUCCAGUUAUAAACCCCUUGGAUCUCAGCUGAAGUAUAUGCUAGAGUAUGUAAUGCUAAAAUAUGGUUCUAGUAAUCAAAAGCAUUUUUCAAUAAUAAAAGCAAAACGCGCACGCGCGCGCGCACACAUACACUGAAGCAAAUACUGAGUUGUUCAUUUUAAAAAAGAACACAGUGCUUACAGGUCACCUCCCCUGCAAGAGUAAAAGACUAAGAAAGAUGAAAAAGAUUACCUCCUGCUUUGAUAAAUGUAUCGUUUUGAUACUCUUGUAUUUCAAUAAGAACAACUCAGAAAAAAGGCAGAUUGGUGUGAACUGACAGGCCUGAAAUAAUUCCUAAUGUCCAUUACUAAAGUAAACUGCUGAAAGACUGGACAUCCAAAGGGGAAUGAAGACUUCCUUAGGCAUAUGUAAUCCAAGCAUAACGUUCCUUCAGAAUAUAGGGCAAAGACUCAAAAUGUGAAUCUUUACAAGGCAUUUGUGAAAUUUUUUACUCCAGUAUAAAUGAGGGCUGUUCAAGGUAUGGUAACUUUCCAAAGGGCAAACAGUUUUUUGGACGUGGAUUGUGGAAGUCAUUUUUUUGGUGGUCAACUGAUCCUGUGAAAAUAUUUAUUUGAACCUUGGGAAUAAGAAAGGUUGUGAUAAUAAAUUAUUAUUAUAUACCCUUUUUACAGAUGAAGAAAGUGAGGCUUCGUUAUCCACAGAUACAUGGCUACUAGGAGUACAGGAGGAUUUGAGGGCAAGGCUGCAUCUACCCUCUAUAAAUGAGAGUCUGUGCCUUUUUCUUUUAAAACCAUGCUCUACUCUCCCCCUUUGAUGUAGUGUAUCCUCAUCAUAUGAUCAAAAAACAUUAUUCAAAAAUCAGGGAGGAGUGCCUGGUGGCUCAGUUGGUUAAGCGUCUGACUCUUGGUAUCAGCUCAGGUUAUGAUCUCAAAGU
Molecule: long non-coding RNA, 3901 nt
Organism: Hyaena hyaena (striped hyena)
Lineage: Eukaryota; Metazoa; Chordata; Mammalia; Carnivora; Hyaenidae
Exons: 4
Source: RefSeq, a predicted model, not a curated record